RNAcentral lists this ribosomal RNA (664 nucleotides) under uncultured Lactarius. RNAcentral describes it as "eukaryotic LSU rRNA". The stretch from base 184 to 337 matches the Rfam family "5.8S ribosomal RNA". Lineage: Eukaryota; Fungi; Basidiomycota; Agaricomycetes; Russulales; Russulaceae. The record is from RNAcentral.
UUUGAGACACCACAGUCUGCACGCAGGAGUGCGUCCUCUCACAUAAAAUCCAUCUCACCCUUUUGUGCACCACCGCGUGGGCGCCCUUCGGGAUCGAAUCGAUCCAGGAGGGGGCUUGCGUUUUCACACAAACCCCUUUUAAAAAGUGUAGAAUGACCCCACUUUGCGAUACGCAAUCAAUACAACUUUCAACAACGGAUCUCUUGGCUCUCGCAUCGAUGAAUAACGCAGCGAAAUGCGAUACGUAAUGUGAAUUGCAGAAUUCAGUGAAUCAUCGAAUCUUUGAACGCACCUUGCGCCCCUUGGUAUUCCUAGGGGCACACCCGUUUGAGUGUCGUGAAAAUCUCAACCUUCUCGGUUUUCUUCUGGACACCGAAGGAGGCUUGGACUUUGGAGGCCUUUGCUGGCAUCUCUCUCUUCUUGAGAGCCAGCUCCUCUUAAACGAAUUAGCGGGGUCCUCUUUGCCGAUCCUCGACAUGUGAUAAGAUGUUUCCAUGACUUGGUUUCUGGCUCUGUUGCCUUUGGGACCUGUUUCUAGCCGUCUCGACGAGACGACGUUUGGGCGCGUCUCCCUUCUCGGGAGACUCUCUCAACCCCACGAACCCUUGACCUCAAAUCGGGGUGAGACUACCCGCUGAACUUUAAGCAUAUCUAUAAGCGGAGG